Molecule: small nucleolar RNA, 136 nt
Organism: Trichechus manatus latirostris (Florida manatee)
Lineage: Eukaryota; Metazoa; Chordata; Mammalia; Sirenia; Trichechidae
Product: small nucleolar RNA SNORA25
Exons: 1
Source: RefSeq, a predicted model, not a curated record
AGGUCAUUUCAAAGAGGGCUUGUGGAACUGCGAGACCAGGAGCUCUUUACGCUGUGACCUAAGAUUAAAGUUCUCCACAGAAUGAAUGCCACAGUCACUCAAUAAGUGGGCUGUUUUUUCCUGAGGAGAGACAGGA